ACUGGUGAUUAUGGCAUGAAACAGUCAACCUACUAAUUGUACUUCACACAAAUGAUGGUUAGAAAAAUAAUCAAUGCCCUGCAUUACUAGACAUGACUUAUUCAACAAAUUCAAAGAUAACAUAGCCAAAGCUUGGCCCAGAGACCUAAUGGUGUCAUGAAUACGACUGAUAAUUAUCUUUCAACAUGUUCUCGUGCUGUAGAACGUGCACUUCGAUAAGUACUACUUCCGAAGGAACGCAAUGGCACGUAGGCGGCGACGUAGUGCACACGUGCUCGGAAGUAAGCAAGGAAAACGUAAUGUUGUUCUCUGGUGAAUUGUUUGUUUGGUGAUAGCACUGGCUUCGUAAUCGAAAUUAUAUUUUGGGAGUACUUGUCAUGGAAACAUGUUUGUGCUGUUCGCUCAUCUAACAAGACGAACCGUUUGCAAGUGAAGUGCGGGAGCGUCAAGAUAGAGGGGUGCAGGUGCACGUUAGCAAGCUACUGCAGUAUAUAACUAUGACCUAGACACAUUUUGUAGUGGUCAUGAAUGAAUAACCACAAAUUUUUAUUUUGAGGAGACGAGUAGGCCUACCUGACACUAACAGUGUAUGUCAGCAACAUGGCAUUCACCAGCCUUUUUUCAAGUCUUCCAAACAAAGAAUUUGACACGGCGCCUUGUGAGCCGAGAGAGAGAUUUCAAAGGGAUGAAAGGCAACUGGAACCAGUUAAACUGGAGGUGAACGAAAGGGAUGCCCAGUCCAGAAAGUGGCCAUUGCAAAGGAGCAGUGUGGUCAGGCCAAGAAAAGUAAGCUCCGUAAAUGCCCAUCACAAUCUUAUAAAGACUUUGACUCUGUGGCCCGAGACUACAACAUGGUGAAGUGUGAUUUCGAGCAACCAGGCUUUGACUCCAGUAGAGACCUGGACUUCUACAGUGAUAGCAAGGAGGGUGCAUCCCCAGGUCAUGCUACAGAGAAGGAUCCUGAUCAGAUCAAGGAUGUUCAAGGUGUAAACGAGAAGAAAGGACGGGAGCAGAAGAAGCAGCGACGGAAGCCCCAGCAGCAGAGACUUGACAACCAGGCCAGAGGCAGAGGGGGAAACUCUGCCAGGAGGGGUGGGGAUUUUACCGGAAUGGGUGGACGUGGAACUAACCAGCCCAGAGACUUCUCCAACAGGGGCGGCGGUGGUUCCAACAGGGGCGGAGAGUGGAGCAAUAGAGGCCAGGGCUGUGACAAGAGGGGCGGUUUUCUCAGAAGAGGUGAUUGGUCAAAGCGAGGCACUGACCGGUCACUUAGAGGUGGACGACAGUUCCCAAAUAAUGAAACUUUGACUGGAAAGGGGAAGAAGAACAUGACAAAGGAAUUCAAAGAUCAGAAUGCUUUGGAGAUUGACGGAAGGUUAAUCUGUCGACAUUUCCUCAGGGGAAAGUGCAUAAAUGGUGAUGACUGCCAGCUAGAACAUGCUCUGGAUGUCAACUACUCGAUCAACGAAGUGUGUACAUUCUACGUCCAGGGAUCCUGUUCGAAAGGAGAGAGCUGCAUGUACAUGCACAAGAGUUUCCCCUGCAAGUUCUUCCAUACUUAUGAGAAGUGCUACCAAGGAGACCAGUGCAGGUUUUCCCAUGAACCCCUGACUGAGCUUACCAAACAGCUACUGGAGGCAGCCAAACUUUUACAACAGCUCAUGCCCCUCUGAGCCACAUGCUGAGGAAAGUACCACUGUGUAUCAGAAGGAAGUGUCAGCUGAGGUCGUGGAGAAGGAAAUUGCCCCUCCUACAGCGUCCGUUUGGUUUCCUGAUCCUCCCCCAAACUCUGGCUUUAAGGAACCUGUUUCUUAUUCAGUUGAGGCUGUGCUUGGGUCCCAUAGGCCCCUGGAUGAACCCUUCCAUAGCUUCUUUGCAGCCUCUAUCAGCCAGACCUCACAGACCAACCAGAUCCCCCCACAACUACAUUAGUUCCUCCAGACUCUAGCCACCCUCGUGAUCCACCCCUAAACUCUACAUGCAGCAAGAGAAAUGUUCCUUAUUCAGUCGAAGCUGUGCUUGGAUUCCAGAAGCCUGAAGAAAAACCCUUCACACUCCCCACACAGAUCCAAUCAGAUCCCCCCAGGACUACAUUCGUUUCUCCAGACCCAAUUAGUUUGUUUGAUCCUUUGAUAAGAGGCAGGCUUCUUAUUCAGUUGAGGCUUUCUCUACGGCCCAGAAGCCAGUGAAAAAACCCUUUUGCAGUCUCUUUGCAGGGAUGAUCAGCCAGACCUCCACUACACCUCUCAUACAGAACUCUGCUAAUUCGCCCAUCAACACCCCAGGAUGUAAGGGACUAGCUUCUUAUUCAGUUAAGGCUGUUCUAAAGUCCCACAAGCCUGUGGAUAACCCCGUCCGCAGCCUCGUUGCAGGCCCCAUCACCCAGUUCUCUCGCCAUCCUGAUAUACAGACCCAACCAGAUCGUCCUAGCACUACAUUAAAUCCUCCAGACUCCAUUCGGCCCCCUGAUCCUCCUCCAGUCUAUAAGAGGCCGGCUUACUAUUCAGCUAAAGCUGUGCUUGGAUCUCCUAAACCUUUGAAACCAUCCUUCAGCAGCCUCUUUGCAGGCCCCAUCAGCCAGACAUCUCCCCAACCUCCCACACAGACCCAACCAGAUUCCCCUAGCGCUACAUUUGGUCCUUCAGAUUCUGCGCCUCCUGCAGGCUGUAAAAGGCCGGCUUCGUAUUAUGUUACGGCUGUGCUUGAGCCCAAGAAGCCUGUGGAAAACCCCUUCUGCAGCCUUUUUGCAGGAAUCAUCAGCCAGACCACUCUCGACUCUCCCUCACACUCCCAAAACUCCCCAGGUUGUAAGGCGCUUCUAACAAGCCCAUGGAAAAACCCUUCCUUAGUCUCUUUGCAGGCCCCAUCAGCCAGACAACCCUCUCAGACAGAUGCAACAAAAUCCCCCCCAGAACUGCAAUUGGUCCCUCAGACCCCAAUUUGUCUUCUGAGCCUCUCCCAGUCUGCAAGAGACGGACAUUCUCAGUUGAGGCUGUCAGUGAGUCCCAGAAGUCCAUGGAAAAACCAUUCCAUAGCCUCUUUGCCGGCCCCCUCACACAGAUCCCCACUUCCGGCCAUCCAUCACAGACCCAACCAGAUCUCCCUAGAAAUUUCACUGGUUGUAAUAGACCAGCUUCUGAUUCAGUUGAGGCUAUGCUUGAGACUCAGAAGCCAGUGGGGGAAACCCUUUCGCAGCCUCUUUGAAGGCCCCAUCAGCCAGACAACCCUCCCUGACCCUCAAACACAGACCUGGCCUUAUCCCCCAAUAGUUGAGCCUAAACCGGAGGUGCCAGACCCAACACCGCUCACCGAGCCAUCCACAACCCAUUCUGUUCUGAGGACCCUCUUCCUACGCCUGAGCCCAUGCCGCCAUGAGGGGGAGCAGGCGAUCAGUAACAGCUGCAAAGAUCCAGGAGGUGAUGGCCUGUGUUCCAGUGAAGACAAAAUCACCAGAGGAUCUACUUCCACAGGACAGCAGCGGCAGAGCCAGGAGGUGGUUGAGGAGCCGGAGAGUGAGCGUGAGGAGCCGGAGAGUGAGCGUGAGGAGCCGGAGAGUGAGCGUGAGGAGCCGGAGAGUGAGCGUGAGGAGUGCCUUCUGAGGGAUGAGCUGUUGGUGAUUCCAUUAGUGCCUUACGUGCCACUUGGUGACCCUUGCCAGGCUGAUAUCACCCUACCACGGUCCACCUUCGCCCGGGACGUGGUGUGGUCCUUUGAAGACCUUGCCCCUCUUCCUCCCCCCUCACAACUAGUGAUUAGUAACAACUAACCGUUGCCUUCUUCCUCCACUGCUGCCGACUACAUUUCCUCUUAUUUGAUGAGUGAACAAUAGAAUGUUAUUACACUCAACUGAUUCUUAUUCUCAUGUGGAAAAUGUAAUUAUUUAAACAAAUUCUGCACCAGUUCUGCUCUGCAUGUAGUGCUUCCCUUUUCUUAUAGUAAGGUACAGUGCUGCGAAAAAGUGAUGCAUCUGGUGGACAGAAGGCAUAAAGUAAACUCUUUGCAUUCAGGCGGAAGUCAUUAAUUGUCAAAGGAGCAGUCCGCAAUGCUAUGUUGGAGCCGCACUAGGCUGCGGUGCGUUCUGUGUACCACGUGCGGUCAAUAUUUAACUCCUGUGUUGGUUUACCGUGCAGCGGUACAAAUGGAAGUACACACAGACUCCGAAUAGCUAGUUGAAAAGCAAAGCGUAUGCAUCUGGUGGUCAUUAGGCUUCUAAGGCUGAACCAGCAGAGUUGCUGUAUUGUAUGCACUUUAGAAUGUUUUAAUUACAGUAUAUGGCCCCCAUCACUUUAUCACAUUUAAGUCUCACAGCCUUGGAUUUUGAUGCAUUUGAUUGGGAACUUUUAUUUGUGAGUCACAUUAUUCGGAGCCCCCCCCCCACACACACACACACACACAAGAAAAUGGUCAACAAUAAAAAUAAAUGACAGUUCAUUUUUAUGUAUUCAUCCCUAGGUCAAUACUUGGUUGAACCACCUCUGGCAGCUAUUACAGCCAGUAGUAUUUUCAACUCUAACUUUGCACACUGUAAUAAAGCAGUAUUUUCCCAUU
RNA transcript from Oncorhynchus kisutch (coho salmon), 4548 nucleotides. It is a transcript of the gene named chromosome alignment-maintaining phosphoprotein 1, with no coding region annotated. Lineage: Eukaryota; Metazoa; Chordata; Actinopteri; Salmoniformes; Salmonidae. The record is from RefSeq and is a predicted model, not a curated record. The transcript has 10 exons.